This 121-nucleotide ribosomal RNA is filed under the name Nelumbo nucifera (sacred lotus). The record is from RNAcentral. Lineage: Eukaryota; Viridiplantae; Streptophyta; Magnoliopsida; Proteales; Nelumbonaceae.
GGAUGCGAUCAUACCAGCACUAAUGCACCGGAUCCCAUCAGAACUCUGAAGUUAAGCAUGCUUGGGCGAGAGUAGCACUAGGAUGGGUGACCUCCUGGGAAGUCCUCGUGUUGCAUUCCCA